GAUGAACGCUAGCGGCAGGCCUAACACAUGCAAGUCGAGGGGCAGCAUAAUGUAGCAAUAUAUUGAUGGCGACCGGCGCACGGGUGAGUAACGCGUAUGCAACCUACCUUUAACUGGGAGAUAGCCCGGAGAAAUUCGGAUUAAUACCCCAUAACAUUGCGAGAGGGCAUCUGAUUGCAAUUAAAGCUCAGGCGGUUAAAGAUGGGCAUGCGUGCCAUUAGCUAGUUGGUAAGGUAAUGGCUUACCAAGGCUACGAUGGCUAGGGGGCCUGAGAGGGUAGUCCCCCACACUGGUACUGAGACACGGACCAGACUCCUACGGGUGGCAG
RNAcentral lists this ribosomal RNA (328 nucleotides) under uncultured Bacteroidota bacterium. RNAcentral's name for it is "bacterial SSU rRNA". It matches the Rfam family "Bacterial small subunit ribosomal RNA", at positions 28 to 351 of the family's 1533-position model. The record is from RNAcentral. Lineage: Bacteria; Pseudomonadati; Bacteroidota.